UAUUGGAAGGAUGUGACUAUUUUUUUUUAAAAAAAAUCGCGACAUUCUUACCUGAAUAAGAGAUAUUCCAUCUAUCAAAUCUAUUUUAGCAGUGGUAUCUUUUUUUUUUUUUGCGGGGUUAGCAGUGGUAUCUUUGACUAAAACCACUCGUGACAAUGACAUAAUAAUGUCCCGCUCCCCGACCAGCGUCCUCACCGCCGACCUCUGCAACGGCGAGGUCGCGUCGCUCCGUCGCCGCCGUUCCCUUCUGCCCCGCCGGCGCCGGGGGUGGACCCGGAUGCAUUCCCCCAAGGACAUCGUCGCCAAGAACACGCUCUGACGAGAUCGAGGUGAGUGGGAACUGGGAAGGCCCCCUCCCAUGGUGAACCCCAACUCCAUGGUGCUCCAGGCCCUCGCGGCGGCGAAUCGAGGAGGAGGCCGAGAAGAAUGAAGAGGAAGGCAGGGCCGCCGCGGCUUCACCACCAAUGCUUCUUCUUCUUCUUGGUCGUCGUCGUCGUCGUCUUGUGUUACGAUGUCCCAGCAAUGACUUCUUAAGCCUAUAGUGCCAUGGAGCAACUAUCGUGUGUAAAUCCUACAAUUAUGAGGUAAUUUAUUUCCCAUGAA
Non-coding RNA from Oryza sativa Japonica Group (Japanese rice), 603 nucleotides. The record is from RefSeq and is a predicted model, not a curated record. Lineage: Eukaryota; Viridiplantae; Streptophyta; Magnoliopsida; Poales; Poaceae.